AUACGGAGGGAGCAAGCGUUAUUCGGAAUCACUGGGCGUAAAGGACGCGUAGGCGGGUUUGUAAGUCAGGUGUGAAGUCCUACAGCUCAACUGUAGAACUGCACUUGAAACUACAGACCUAGAGUAUGGAAGGGGCAGAUGGAAUUAGUGGUGUAGGGGUAAAAUCCGUAGAUAUCACUAGGAAUACCGAAAGCGAAGGCGAUCUGCUGGGACAUUACUGACGCUGAGGCGUGAAAGCGUGGGGAGCAAACAGAAUUAGAUACCCUAGUAGUCC
This 274-nucleotide ribosomal RNA is filed under the name uncultured bacterium. RNAcentral's name for it is "partial 16S ribosomal RNA". It matches the Rfam family "Bacterial small subunit ribosomal RNA", at positions 523 to 796 of the family's 1533-position model. The record is from RNAcentral.